AUCGGUUGCGUUCCGCGCCAACGCGUGACCCGACCUCUCGCCGGAGCCCCGAUUCUCUUGUCACUCCUGUUCGCCCGUCUCGCACCCGCUUUGGAUAACCCUCCCCUCCCGUUUCGUCCUAUCCAAGAAAAUGGCUCCUAUAAUAUCAAAUGACCUUGAUAAAUAUUUUUCCGAUGUUGAUAUUCCUGACGAAUACGUGACGAUAUUGAUAGUUUAAAAGCUUGGCUUGAGAAGCAGCCACAUCUUCCAAAAGUUUCAGAUCG
RNAcentral lists this long non-coding RNA (263 nucleotides) under Bemisia tabaci. RNAcentral's name for it is "lncRNA ENSSSA2NGG007769". Lineage: Eukaryota; Metazoa; Arthropoda; Insecta; Hemiptera; Aleyrodidae. The record is from RNAcentral.